RNAcentral lists this ribosomal RNA (514 nucleotides) under uncultured bacterium. RNAcentral describes it as "bacterial SSU rRNA". It matches the Rfam family "Bacterial small subunit ribosomal RNA", at positions 777 to 1297 of the family's 1533-position model. The record is from RNAcentral.
AAUAGAUACCCAGGUAGUCCACGCCGUAAACGAUGGAUACUAGCUGUUUGAGCGCAAGUUUGAGUGGCUAAGCGAAAGUGAUAAGUAUCCCACCUGGGGAGUACGGGCGCAAGCCUGAAACUCAAAGGAAUUGACGGGGGCCCGCACAAGCGGUGGAGCAUGUGGUUUAAUUCGAUGAUACGCGAGGAACCUUACCAGGGCUUAAAUGUAGAUUGACGUAUUUGGAAACAGAUAUUUCUUCGGACAAUUUACAAGGUGCUGCAUGGUUGUCGUCAGCUCGUGCCGUGAGGUGUCAGGUUAAGUCCUAUAACGAGCGCAACCCCUGUUGUUAGUUGCCAGCGAGUAAUGUCGGGAACUCUAGCAAGACUGCCAGUGUAAACUGUGAGGAAGGUGGGGAUGACGUCAAAUCAUCACGGCCCUUACGUCCUGGGCCACACACGUGCUACAAUGGCCGGUACAGAGAGCAGCCACUUAGCGAUAAGGAGCGAAUCUAUAAAGCCGGUCACAGUUCGGA